GUUGUAUAGUCAAGUAAUUAAGUGCAUGUGGUGGAUGCCUUGGCAGUCAGAGGCGAUGAAAGACGUGAUAGCCUGCGAAAAGCUCCGGGGAGGCGGCAAAUAUCCUUUGAUCCGGAGAUGUCUGAAUGGGGGAACCCACCUACUUUAAGGUAGGUAUUGCAACAUGAAUACAUAGUGUUGCAAGGCGAACGAGGGGAAGUGAAACAUCUCAGUACCCUUAGGAAAAGAAAUCAAUUGAGAUUCCCUCAGUAGCGGCGAGCGAACGGGGAUCAGCCCAUUAAGUUAUGUGUGUUUUAGUGGAACGCUCUGGGAAGUGCGAACGUAGAGGGUGAUAUUCCCGUACACGAAAGGGCACACAUAAUGAUGACGAGUAGGGCGAGGCACGUGAAACCUUGUCUGAAUAUGGGGGACCAUCCUCCAAGGCUAAAUACUCCUGACUGACCGAUAGUGAACCAGUACCGUGAGGGAAAGGCGAAAAGAACCCCUGUGAGGGGAGUGAAAUAGAUCCUGAAACCGCAUGCAUACAAGCAGUGGGAGCACCUUCGUGGUGUGACUGCGUACCUUUGUAUAAUGGGUCAGCGACUUAUAUUCAGUAGCGAGGUUAACCGUAUAGGGGAGCCGUAGAGAAAUCGAGUCUUAAUAGGGCGUUUAGUUGCUGGGUAUAGACCCGAAACCAGGCGAUCUAUCCAUGAGCAGGUUGAAGGUUGGGUAACACUAACUGGAGGACCGAACCCACUGUCGUUGAAAAGCCAGGGGAUGACUUGUGGAUAGGGGUGAAAGGCUAAUCAAGCCUGGUGAUAGCUGGUUCUCCCCGAAAGCUAUUUAGGUAGCGCCUCGGACGAAUACCAUAGGGGGUAGAGCACUGUUUCGGCUAGGGGUCAUCCCGACUUACCAAACCGAUGCAAACUCCGAAUACCUAUGAGUACUAUCCGGGAGACAGACUGCGGGUGCUAACGUCCGUAGUCAAGAGGAAAACAAUCCAGACCGCCAGCUAAGGCCCCAAAAUCAUAGUUAAGUGGGAAACGAUGUGGGAAGGCAUAGACAGCUAGGAGGUUGGCUUAGAAGCAGCCACCCUUUAAAGAAAGCGUAAUAGCUCACUAGUCGAGUCGGCCUGCGCGGAAGAUGUAACGGGGCUAAAACUAUGUGCCGAAGCUGCGGAUGUAUACUUUGUAUACGUGGUAGGGGAGCGUUCUGUAAGCCGAUGAAGGUGUGUUGAGAAGCAUGCUGGAGGUAUCAGAAGUGCGAAUGCUGACGUGAGUAACGACAAAACGGGUGAAAAACCCGUUCGCCGAAAGACCAAGGGUUCCAGUCCAACGUUAAUCGGGGCUGGGUGAGUCGACCCUAAGGCGAGGCCGAAAGGCGUAGUCGAUGGGAAAAUGGUUAAUAUUCCAUUACUUCUGUGUAAUGCGAUGAGAGGACGGAGAAGGCUAAAUCAGCCUGGCGUUGGUUGUCCAGGUGAAAGGAUGUAGGCAUGUAUCUUAGGCAAAUCCGGGGUACUCUAUGCUGAGAUCUGAUAGCAAGCUGUACUUGUACAGCGAAGUGGUUGAUGCCAUGCUUCCAGGAAAAGUCUCUAAGCUUCAGUUACACAGGAAUCGUACCCGAAACCGACACAGGUGGUCAGGUCGAGUAGACCAAGGCGCUUGAGAGAACUCUGCUGAAGGAACUAGGCAAAAUGGUACCGUAACUUCGGGAGAAGGUACGCUGUUGUUGGUGAUGGAACUCGCUUCCUGAGCUGACGACAGCCGCAGAAACCAGGCCGCUGCAACUGUUUAUUAAAAACAUAGCACUCUGCAAACACGAAAGUGGACGUAUAGGGUGUGAUGCCUGCCCGGUGCUGGAAGGUUAAUUGAUGGGGUUAGCGUAAGCGAAGCUCUUGAUCGAAGCCCCAGUAAACGGCGGCCGUAACUAUAACGGUCCUAAGGUAGCGAAAUUCCUUGUCGGGUAAGUUCCGACCUGCACGAAUGGCAUAAUGAUGGCGGCGCUGUCUCCAGCAGAGGCUCAGUGAAAUCGAAAUCGCUGUGAAGAUGCAGUGUACCCGCGGCUAGACGGAAAGACCCCGUGAACCUUUACUGCAGCUUGACACUGAACUUUGACCUUACUUGUGUAGGAUAGGUGGGAGGCUUUGAAGCUGGAACGCUAGUUCCAGUGGAGCCGUCCUUGAAAUACCACCCUGGUAAUGUUGAGGUUCUAACUCUGUCCCGUGAUCCGGGACGAGGACCGUGUCUGGUGGGUAGUUUGACUGGGGCGGUCUCCUCCUAAAGAGUAACGGAGGAGUACGAAGGUGCGCUCAGCGUGGUCGGAAAUCACGCGUAGAGUAUAAAGGCAAAAGCGCGCUUAACUGCGAGACCCACAAGUCGAGCAGGUACGAAAGUAGGUCUUAGUGAUCCGGUGGUUCUGUAUGGAAGGGCCAUCGCUCAACGGAUAAAAGGUACUCUGGGGAUAACAGGCUGAUACCGCCCAAGAGUUCAUAUCGACGGCGGUGUUUGGCACCUCGAUGUCGGCUCAUCUCAUCCUGGGGCUGAAGCAGGUCCCAAGGGUAUGGCUGUUCGCCAUUUAAAGAGGUACGCGAGCUGGGUUUAGAACGUCGUGAGACAGUUCGGUCCCUAUCUACCGUGGGCGCUGGAAAUUUGAGAGGAUCUGCUCCUAGUACGAGAGGACCAGAGUGGACGAACCUCUGGUGUACCGGUUGUGACGCCAGUCGCAUCGCCGGGUAGCUAUGUUCGGAAGGGAUAACCGCUGAAAGCAUCUAAGCGGGAAGCCUACCUCAAGAUAAGAUUUCCCUAGGACUUUAUGUCCUCUAAAGAGCCGUUCGAGACUAGGACGUUGAUAGGUUGGAUGUGGAAGCAUAGUGAUAUGUGAAGCUGACCAAUACUAAUUGCUCGUGAGGCUUGACUAUACAACACCCAAGCAGUUG
RNAcentral lists this ribosomal RNA (2914 nucleotides) under Acinetobacter baumannii. RNAcentral's name for it is "bacterial LSU rRNA". It matches the Rfam family "Bacterial large subunit ribosomal RNA". The record is from RNAcentral. Lineage: Bacteria; Pseudomonadati; Pseudomonadota; Gammaproteobacteria; Moraxellales; Moraxellaceae.